Molecule: long non-coding RNA, 1536 nt
Organism: Dermacentor andersoni
Lineage: Eukaryota; Metazoa; Arthropoda; Arachnida; Ixodida; Ixodidae
Source: RefSeq, a predicted model, not a curated record
UUCCUGAGAGAUCAACUCGUUUCAAAUGUGUAAUUGAAACAUGGUCCUCAGCGUAGUUAUUGAAAGGGUAUUCAGUGAAGUAUAAUAACUUCGUGCUGAUCACGCAUUAUGCAAUAAUUUAUUUACGCUAACCAGCGCGAGUAACGUGCACCGAAAAAAUAGAAGUACUCUUUAUUUCAACUGCAUUAAAUUAGUAGUUGCUUGUUUUCGCUGAAACGACUGGUAUCAUUUAUAGUAUUAUUGGUUCCUAGAACGAAUUGACGCAGACGAAAACUAGAAGACGAAACUCGCCCGACUCGCCCAGCCGUCCAUCCUUUUGCAUAAUAUAUAUAGUCCAUUUGGUUAGUUAAUCUCGUGCAUUCUAUAACUCUGUCACCGAAUAAACAAAGGAAGCAGUGUUACUAUACGUUUGGUUUUCUACAAGCUUUGCCAAAUAGAGGAAUAAAUAAAUAAACAACUGGCACAGUGCGUAGUACAGCGUGUAUUUGACCGCGACGGAGAUCGAGACACAAAGCUGCCUAUUUCAAGACUGAUAGGUCGACUUUAUCAAUCAGAGGCCGCACAUCGGAAGUUUUGUCACAUCUGGACCAAUCGUAUCAGCUGUCAAAAAAAAAGAAUGAUGACAAAAAUUGCGCACAAGCGAAAAAGAAUGCAGAGGAAUGGAAAUAUCGAACGCUGUGUAAAGCGUGUGCACUAUUUAGAUUGGAAUGUUCCAAUAUUCACGAACAGUUUUUUUUUCUCCAUUAUUUCUUCAUCACACUUUAUCCCACAGCUACAAAAGUAAUUUCCUGCGUCUAGUCUGUUUUGCUCAUGUUUGUGCAGCUCUGCUCGAAUUUCUUGGCCAAGACGAACGCGCUGUCUUGAGCCUCUAGAAAAAAAAAAAAAAAAAAAAAAACAGCACCCCACUGCAGCAACAGUCAAGGAACUGUAGACCCAGCCGGUUUUCUCACGCAUUCGCUUCCGUUUGCGAGUUGCGAGUGUCAUGUGUUUAGUGCCGGAGGGAUCACGCGAAACGACGCUUUAGCAACAUUCACAGCUGCGACUGCUCUUCGGUUUAACUGAAGAAAAAAAAUAUUUUUUUUCACUCCUGGGCAUUUGAAACAUCCCGGACAAGGUAUAUAAAGGUGAAGCACUUUGACAACUAGUCAUUGCUAUCGAAAAUGGAGACUUCGACUGUUCUUAUUCUGGGGCUCCUCGUCCUGGCAGUCUUGGCCUGCUGCAACGCCGAAGGUGUAGACGACAACAGUAAGCAUGAACAUACAAAGAAGCACCCAACCAGGAUGCGCCGAUCCGAGGAGGAUGAACCCGGUGCCAAAGGCCGCAAGAUAGCAUCUGAGAUGUCUGGUGGCAAGGCCGGCGGCAAGGGGAAAGGAAAGGGGAAAGGAAAAGCUAAAGGGAAGAAGGAAGAUAGCGAUGAACAGUAAUUAACACCACGAGUGCAGUCAUCCAGAUGAAGCUCCCAGAUGCCACCCGACCGGCCUCCACCAUAUCAAUAAGAAGCCAGAUAAAAUGUCAAUAAAAUCGCACGAGAAUAAA